CGCGUAGGCGGUCUCUUAAGUCAGAUGUGAAAGCCCGGGGCUCAACCCCGGAAGUGCAUUUGAAACGAGGGGACUUGAGUAUGGGAGAGGGAAGUGGAAUUCCUGGUGUAGCGGUGAAAUGCGUAGAUAUCAGGAGGAACACCGGUGGCGAUGGCGACUUCCUGGACCAAUACUGACGCUGAGGCGCGAAGGCGUGGGGAGCAAACA
RNAcentral lists this ribosomal RNA (207 nucleotides) under uncultured bacterium. Its description in RNAcentral is "partial 16S ribosomal RNA". It matches the Rfam family "Bacterial small subunit ribosomal RNA", at positions 568 to 774 of the family's 1533-position model. The record is from RNAcentral.